GAGGAGUUUAUAACAUGAUGGUGCAGAGUAAAAUACUGUCUAUAAUAUGUAUUCAAUCUUUCUUCAUUUUAUUAAACACUUUAUUUAAUUUUGUGACAGAGGAAGAAACAUGGGAAGGAACCAAACAUUCUUCAAACUAACCCACACUCGUGGAUAGAAUGAAAUAUCAGUUGACGAGGCUUCACAGUUGACAAUUGUAAGUGACGUGCAACCAAUGUUGUUCUACAUUUGGAAAGCAAUUUUCCAAUUUGUUUGCAGGUAGAGUUCAAUAAACGACUUGAAGAAAGAACUGUUUACCCGUUUUGAUGUAGUUCUU
This 316-nucleotide long non-coding RNA is filed under the name Prunus persica (peach). RNAcentral describes it as "long non-coding RNA (PPER_LNC003177)". Lineage: Eukaryota; Viridiplantae; Streptophyta; Magnoliopsida; Rosales; Rosaceae. The record is from RNAcentral.